UCCGUGCCAGCAGCCGCGGUAAUACGGAGGGUGCGAGCGUUAAUCGGAAUUACGUGGGACGUAAAGCGCAUGCAGGCGGCCUGGUUAAGUCAGAUGUAGAAACGGCCCCGGGGCUUAACCUCGGAAUUGCUAUUUAGAAACUGGCAGGCUAGAGUCUUGUAGAGGGGGUAGAAUUUCAGGUGUAGCGGUGAAAUGCGUAGAGAUCUGAAGGAAUACCAGUGGCGAAGGCGGCCCCCUGGACAAAGACUGACGCUCAGAUGCGAAAGCGUGGGGAGCAAACAGGAUUAGAUACCCUGGGAG
This 300-nucleotide ribosomal RNA is filed under the name uncultured bacterium. RNAcentral describes it as "bacterial SSU rRNA". It matches the Rfam family "Bacterial small subunit ribosomal RNA", at positions 502 to 793 of the family's 1533-position model. The record is from RNAcentral.